GGGCUCGUGGUCUAGUCAGGAUAUCCGAAAGGUCCUAGAGACGGCGGCCUGCGGAGCCGUUGAUCAGGGGUUCAAAUCCCCUCGAGCCCG
Molecule: transfer RNA, 90 nt
Filed under: Thermoprotei archaeon
Lineage: Archaea; Thermoproteati; Thermoproteota; Thermoprotei
Also listed under: 3 other names
Description: tRNA-Arg
Rfam family: tRNA
About the family: Transfer RNA (tRNA) molecules are approximately 80 nucleotides in length. Their secondary structure includes four short double-helical elements and three loops (D, anti-codon, and T loops).
Source: RNAcentral